Molecule: long non-coding RNA, 393 nt
Organism: Prionailurus viverrinus (fishing cat)
Lineage: Eukaryota; Metazoa; Chordata; Mammalia; Carnivora; Felidae
Exons: 3
Source: RefSeq, a predicted model, not a curated record
UGUGAUAAAUGGCAUGCUGAGACUGGCUGCUCCCGGUUCCAUCAAGAUGCCACUUGGAAUCUCUUCCUUGACGUCAGAGUCGUCCUCUGAAAAGAUUUAGGCGGAUACUGUGAACCUGAAACACCAACCACAAAGUGGAGAAAACUGACCUGUCAACAGACUCUGACUUGUCCAUGUGUGGCCAGCAAAUUCCAUCAGGGUCAGUGAACCUUUUCGAGGAGUAUCUAACUGUCAGAAGAAAAAUAAAAUGAGGGGAACAGAUCGAGAUCCAGGAACUGCCACAUUCUGCCCACCAGUCUCUGAGCCUAUGGGGGGUAACCUGCUUCUUGAAGCCUGAGCCGGUGGGGAGGACCCCCGGUCUAUGCCAGUUUGCCUGUAAACACAACAACAUGU